GUGGUGUGAUCUACUAUAGAUGCAUAUUCGGGUAGUCAGUUCAGUUUGGUUCGAGCAUGUUGUUGUAUAACAUAGGAAGCAGUCAUUAUCUGCAAGAUCAAGAUCUUCAGACAUUUGGUAAAGCUAGGUCUGCAUUUAAUGCCCCUGGUGUAACCCAUCUUACAUUGCUAAAUUGUGAAAUAUGCAGAGAAUUCUGCUGUUGGCGUGUUUGCUGCCUUUUUUUUUUGAUAAAGUACAGAGCCGAAACAACCGAACGUCGUUUGUUAAGAAAAAAUUGAACUUUGAAGCAAACUGCAUCAAAUACUAUAGCCAGCACACUGGGAGAUUUCUGGAACCGGAUUGGCAUCCCUGCUAUGAACUGGGACCCACAAACUUCCUCUGUACAUCACAUGGACCUCAUGCAUGUGUUGAUGAGAAGGUGUUUGAAAUAUACAGGAAUGUUGAUGUACGCAAAGCCUAUGUUCGCUCUAAUAAAUUUGAACCUAGUUGGAAAUUUAAUCUGAUCUACCUAUCAAUAUAUUUUUGGGUGCUAGUUAUCUAUACUAUUUUCUUGUGGAUAGAGGUGUAUAGACUACGUAGGAUAUUAUAUAGAGAAUAUUAAAACUCUUUUACUAAAGUAAGAACUUGUAACGAAUGAAUUCGCCAAUUCCACCAGAAAAUUGAAUGUGUCGACUGCAACCAAUCUAUUUAUCGAUUGUUUGUUAUCAUCUGUAGCAUGUUCAGGCAUUGUACAUCUCAGAGCUUUUUGUCUGAUUUUAAGAAUUAAUCAAGCUUCACAGAAUCACUUGUAUUCAGCCAAAAAUACAACAAAUUAUAAUAUUUUAUCCAGAUUCAAAUAUAAGCUAAUGUUUAUAAAUACAUAAAUGAUUG
Molecule: long non-coding RNA, 870 nt
Organism: Physella acuta
Lineage: Eukaryota; Metazoa; Mollusca; Gastropoda; Physidae
Source: RefSeq, a predicted model, not a curated record